RNAcentral lists this ribosomal RNA (438 nucleotides) under uncultured bacterium. RNAcentral describes it as "bacterial SSU rRNA". It matches the Rfam family "Bacterial small subunit ribosomal RNA", at positions 342 to 797 of the family's 1533-position model. The record is from RNAcentral.
CAGGAGGCAGCAGUAGGGAAUUUUGCGCAAUGGGCGAAAGCCUGACGCAGCAACGCCGCGUGCGGGAUGAAGGCCUUCGGGUCGUAAACCGCUUUCAGCAGGGACCAAAAUGAGUGUACCUGCAGAAGAAGCCCCGGCUAACUACGUGCCAGCAGCCGCGGUAAUACGUAGGGGGCAAGCGUUAUCCGGAUUCAUUGGGCGUAAAGCGCGCGUAGGCGGCUUGUUAAGUCAGGUGUGAAAACCGGGGGCUCAACCCGCGGACUGCAUCUGAAACUGGCAGGCUUGAGUCUGGUAGAGGAGUGUGGAAUUCCUAGUGUAGCGGUGAAAUGCGCAGAUAUUAGGAGGAACACCAGUGGCGAAGGCGGCACUCUGGGCCACGACUGACGCUGAGGCGCGAAAGCUAGGGGAGCAAACAGGAUUAGAAACCCCAGUAGUCCA